This 114-nucleotide ribosomal RNA is filed under the name Propithecus coquereli (Coquerel's sifaka). The record is from RNAcentral. Lineage: Eukaryota; Metazoa; Chordata; Mammalia; Primates; Indriidae.
GUCUACAGCCACACUGACCUGAACAUGCCCAAUCUCAUCUGAUCUUGGAAGUUACGCAGAGCCAGGCCUGGUUAGUAAUUGGAUGGGAGAAAAUCUCAACGAAUGUUAAAGACU